RNAcentral lists this ribosomal RNA (218 nucleotides) under Bowmanella yangjiangensis. RNAcentral's name for it is "Bowmanella sp. Y57 partial 23S ribosomal RNA". It matches the Rfam family "Bacterial large subunit ribosomal RNA", at positions 1 to 221 of the family's 2925-position model. The record is from RNAcentral. Lineage: Bacteria; Pseudomonadati; Pseudomonadota; Gammaproteobacteria; Alteromonadales; Alteromonadaceae.
GGUUAAGUGACUAAGCGUAUACGGUGGAUGCCUAGGCAGUUAGAGGCGAUGAAGGACGUGUAAAUCUGCGAAAAGCUGUGGUGAGCUGAUAAAACGCAUUUGAGCCACAGAUGUCCGAAUGGGGAAACCCAGUGUGCUUGCACACUAUCCUAUACUGAAUACAUAGGUAUAGGAGGCUAACCGGGAGAACUGAAACAUCUAAGUACCCCGAGGAAAAG